GGGGCUGUGGCUCAGCUGUAGAGCACUCGCCCAGCCCGUGCGAGGCCCUGGGUUCGAUCCUCAGCACCACA
This 71-nucleotide transfer RNA is filed under the name Marmota monax (woodchuck). RNAcentral's name for it is "tRNA.Ala". Lineage: Eukaryota; Metazoa; Chordata; Mammalia; Rodentia; Sciuridae. The record is from RNAcentral.